AGGACAAAGAUGUGUAUGUGCAAGUUCAUAGCAGUUUUGUUCAUAACAUCCCAAAGCUAAGACAACCCUAAACGUCCAUCUCCUGGUGAAUGGAUAAACCAGUUGUCGUGUGUCCACAUGAUGGAACGCUAUUCCACAACAGAAAGGAGCAAUUACUGAGUGACUGGACCACCUGAAAGGAUGAGCUACAGGAGGAAGCCAGACACGGCAGACCAGCACCGCGCGAUCCCGUCUACGUGAAAUGACAGGAAAGGGCAACAUAGAGACAGCAGAGAUCUGGGGUUUCCGGGGUCUCAGACAGGACUGACUACAAAAGGGAGCAUUAAAGGGAAGCUUUGACAAGUGGGACAUAGAGGAGCCUCUGAAGGCGGGUCCGGGACCAUCACACAGGAGAAUGAAGCACCUGGGUCUUCAGGAGGAGGGAGACAGGCAGGAUGGAACAGGUACUCUCAGCAGCCUGGCACACUGUUCUCCAGCCAGGAGAACCUGCCAACCUCCCGUGGGCUGAGGUGGAAUUAGCGCUGUUUUGCAGGGCUCUGGUCUCAGCGAUGGGAGGGUUAGUUUCCGAUUUUCACCAGCAUUCUCAUCUAACCCCU
This is a long non-coding RNA of Equus asinus (donkey), 596 nucleotides long. Lineage: Eukaryota; Metazoa; Chordata; Mammalia; Perissodactyla; Equidae. The record is from Ensembl.